GAGGGUGUAGCUCAAUGGUAGAGCACGUGCUUAGCAUGCACAAGGUGCUGGGUUCAAUCCCCAGGAUCUCCA
RNAcentral lists this transfer RNA (72 nucleotides) under Camelus bactrianus (Bactrian camel). It matches the Rfam family "tRNA". From Rfam's summary of the family: Transfer RNA (tRNA) molecules are approximately 80 nucleotides in length. Their secondary structure includes four short double-helical elements and three loops (D, anti-codon, and T loops). Lineage: Eukaryota; Metazoa; Chordata; Mammalia; Artiodactyla; Camelidae. The record is from Rfam by way of RNAcentral. RNAcentral also lists the same sequence under 2 other names.